CUGCGGUAAUACGUAGGGGGCGAGCGUUAUUCGGAAUUACUGGGUGUAAAGGGUAUGUAGGCGGCCCUUCAAGUCGCGUGUCAAAGUCCAGUGCUCAACGCUGGGUGUGCGCGCGAUACUGACGGGCUUGAGGGCUGGAGAGGUGAGCGGAAUUCCCGGUGUAGUGGUAAAAUACGUAGAGAUCGGGAGGAACACCAGCGGCGCAGGCGGCUCACUAGACAGUUUCUGACGCUAAGAUACGAAAGCGUGGGGAGCAAACA
This 260-nucleotide ribosomal RNA is filed under the name uncultured bacterium. Its description in RNAcentral is "partial 16S ribosomal RNA". It matches the Rfam family "Bacterial small subunit ribosomal RNA", at positions 515 to 774 of the family's 1533-position model. The record is from RNAcentral.